UAAAGCUAAUAAGGGCAUAUGGUGGAUGCCUUGGCACCAAGCGCCGAAGAAGGACGUGACAAGCUGCGAUAAGCUACGGUGAGCUGCAAAUAAGCUUUGACCCGUAGAUCUCCGAAUGAGGAAACUCACUUCCGGUAAUGCGGAAGUAUCCGUACAUGAAUAUAUAGUGUAUAGGAAGGGAACCCGGGGAACUGAAACAUCUAAGUACCCGGAGGAAAAGAAAGUAAAUAAACGAUUUCGUAAGUAGUGGUGAGCGAACGCGAAAGAGCCCAAACCUGAGAAACUUGUUUCGAAGGGGUUCGGACCUGCAUAAUUCAAAAAAUCGAUAGUCGAACAUAGUUGGAAAGCUGGACGACACAGAGUAAUAGUCUCGUAGGCGAAAUCGAUUUUAGAUGGCGGGUAUCCAGAGUAGCACAGGACACGUGGAAUCCGGUGUGAACAUGUGAGGACCAUCUCAUAAGGCUAAAUACGACUUGGUGACCGAUAGCGUAUAGUACCGUGAGGGAAAGGUGAAAAGGACCCCGGGAGGGGAGUGAAAGAGAACCUGAAACCAUAUGCUUACAAGCAGACACAGCACAACUUAAUGUGUGGUGUCGUACUUUUUGUAGAACGGGCCGGCGAGUUACGUUGCGUAGCGAGGUUAAGUGAUUAAGUCACGGAGCCGUAGCGAAAGCGAGUCUGAAACUGGCGACAUAGUUGCGUGACGUAGACCCGAAACUGGAUGACCUAACCAUGAGCAGGUUGAAGCAGUGGUAAGACACUGUGGAGGACCGAACCCACGUUCGUUGAAAAGACCGGGGAUGACUUGUGGUUAGCGGAGAAAUUCCAAUCGAAUCCAGAUAUAGCUGGUUCUCCUCGAAAUAGCUUUAGGGCUAGCCUCUGAAUAGAUUACUGAUGGUAGAGCACUGAAUGGGCUAGGGGGCUUCACAGCUUACUGAACCUUAUCAAACUUCGAAUGUCAGAUAAUUGUUUUCAGGGAGUCAGACAGCGUGAGAUAAGUUUCGUUGUCAAAAGGGAAACAGCCCAGAUCUACAACUAAGGUCCCUAAGUACAAGUUAAGUGGUAAAGGAUGUGUCAAUUCCAAAACAACCAGGAUGUUGGCUUAGAAGCAGCCACUCAUUUAAAGAGUGCGUAAUAGCUCACUGGUCGAGAGAGGGUGCGCCGAAAAUUACCGGGGCUAAAACUUGUCACCGAAGUUUAGGAAUGUAAUUUAUUACAUUGGUAGAGGAGCAAUCUAUGCGGGCUGAAGCGGUAUCGUAAGGGGCCGUGGACUGCAUAGAAGAGAGAAUGCCGGCAUAAGUAGCGCGAGGGAAGUGAGAAUCUUCCCCGUCGAAUGCCUAAGGUUUCCUGGGGAAGGUUUGUCCCCCCAGGGUAAGUCGGGACCUAAGCCGAGGCCGAAAGGCGUAGGUGAUGGACAGCAGGUAGAUAUUCCUGCACCACCGAAAGCGUUUAAAUGAGGCAAUGACACAGUAGGAUAGUCAAUCCGCGGAGUUGGAUUUCUGCGGCUAAAUCGUGAGGCUUGCACGUAGUGAAGUACGCGUGCUAUAAGGCUGGGCGAUGAUGGGGAGCGAAAAUUAGUAGCGAAGUUGAUGAAUUCACACUGGCGAGAAAAGUUGCUAAAUAUGCUGUAAGGUGCCCGUACCGCAUACCGACACAGGUGGGCGAGGAGAAAAUCCUAAGACGGACGGGAUAACCCUUGUUAAGGAACUCUGCAAAAUGACCCCGUAACUUCGGAAGAAGGGGAGCCUGCGCAAGCAGGCCGCAGUGAAGAGGCCCAAGCAACUGUUUACCAAAAACACAGGUCUCUGCAAAAUCGUAAGAUGAUGUAUAGGGGCUGACGCCUGCCCAGUGCUGGAAGGUUAAGGGGAUGUGUUAGCGCAAGCGAAGCACGGAACUUAAGCCCCAGUGAACGGCGGCCGUAACUAUAACGGUCCUAAGGUAGCGAAAUUCCUUGUCAGGUAAGUUCUGACCC
Molecule: ribosomal RNA, 1972 nt
Filed under: human gut metagenome
Description: bacterial LSU rRNA
Rfam family: Bacterial large subunit ribosomal RNA
Source: RNAcentral